GCCUAAAGAAAAGCUCGCGGCUGAUUAGCUUGUUGGUAAGGUAAUGGCUUACCAAGGCGACGAUCAGUAUCUGGUUUGAGAGGACGAUCAGACACACUGGAACUGAGACACGGUCCAGACUCCUACGGGAGGCAGCAGUGGGGAAUUUUCCGCAAUGGGCGAAAGCCUGACGGAGCAAUACCGCGUGAGGGAAGACGGCCUAUGGGUUGUAAACCUCUUUUUUCAGGGAGGAACAAAAUGACGUGUACCUGAAGAAUAAGCAUCGGCUAACUCCGUGCCAGCAGCCGCGGUAAGACGGAGGAUGCAAGUGUUAUCCGGAAUCACUGGGCGUAAAGCGUCUGUAGGUGGUUUGUUAAGUCAACUGUUAAAUCUUGAGGCUCAACUUCAGAUCAGCAGUCGAAACUAUCAGACUAGAGUAUAGUAGGGGUAAAGGGAAUUUCCAGUGGAGCGGUGAAAUGCGUAGAUAUUG
This 469-nucleotide ribosomal RNA is filed under the name uncultured diatom. RNAcentral describes it as "SSU rRNA". It matches the Rfam family "Bacterial small subunit ribosomal RNA", at positions 217 to 699 of the family's 1533-position model. The record is from RNAcentral. Lineage: Eukaryota; Bacillariophyta.